GACGAACGCUGGCGGCGUGCUUAACACAUGCAAGUCGAACGGAAAGGCCCUGCUUGUGUGGGGUGCUCGAGUGGCGAACGGGUGAGUAACACGUGAGUAACCUGCCCUUGACUUUGGGAUAACUUCAGGAAACUGGGGCUAAUACCGGAUAGGAGCUCCUGCUGCAGGGUGGGGGGUGGAAAGUUUCGGCGGUUGGGGAUGGACUCGCGGCUUAUCAGCUUGUUGGUGGGGUAGUGGCUUACCAAGGCUUUGACGGGUAGCCGGCCUGGGAGGGUGACCGGCCACAUUGGGCCUGCGAUACGGCCCAGACUCCUACGGGAGGCAGCAGUGGGGAAUAUUGCCCAAUGGGCGGACGCCUGAUGCAGCAACGCCGCGUGCGGGAUGACGGCCUUCGGGUUGUAAACCGCUUUCGCCUGUGACGAAGCGUGAGUGACGGUAAUGGGUAAAGAAGCACCGGCUAACUACGUG
This 468-nucleotide ribosomal RNA is filed under the name uncultured bacterium. Its description in RNAcentral is "partial 16S ribosomal RNA". It matches the Rfam family "Bacterial small subunit ribosomal RNA", at positions 28 to 507 of the family's 1533-position model. The record is from RNAcentral.